Long non-coding RNA from Prunus persica (peach), 1847 nucleotides. RefSeq lists it as uncharacterized. The record is from RefSeq and is a predicted model, not a curated record. The transcript has 2 exons. Lineage: Eukaryota; Viridiplantae; Streptophyta; Magnoliopsida; Rosales; Rosaceae.
AGCAGCCCACUGCUCAGCUUCACAACUUAGCAAUACCUCCUCUACCUCAUCAAACACGCCUCCUACACCAGAACUAGCUGUCACCGUCUCAAAUAUUUCUACUCCAAACACUAUUGUGCAAUCCCUUGCUCCCAUCAUUGAACCACAACCGGUCUUAGUUUCUCCUUUAGUAGUUCCAAGUUGUAUUAAUGCAGGAAAUUCUGAGGAAGCUCUACCAGUGCGCAUGGUUACUCGAUCACAAACUGGCCAUCUAAAACCAAAUCCCAAAUAUGUGAUGCAUUUCAGUUGUUGAUGUCUCAGAGGUUGAACCCACAUGUUUUAGCAAAGCAGUGAAGCAAGAAGCAUGGCGUCAGGCCAUGGCUACAGAAUUUAGUGCCCUCCAGCAUUGCGGAACUUGGGUAUUGGUUCCAGCUACUUCUCACAUGAAUAUCUUACCUAAUAAAUGGGUGUACAAGGUAAAUAGGAAAUCUGAUGGUUCGAUUGAGAAGUUUAAAGCUCGUUUGGUUGCUAAUGGGUUCCAUCAACAAGAGGGUCUCGAUUAUACAGAGACUUUUAGUCUUGUGGUAAAGCAUACAACCAUUCGGAUGGUUCUAAGUCUGGCAAUUUCGAAUAAGGGGUUGGUACGACAAUUAGAUGUGCAAAAUGCUUUUCUUCAUGGUUUUUCAAAUGAAGAUGUUUUCAUACGACAACCGCAGGGAUUUGUUGAUCCUCAAUAUCCGAAUCAUGUUUGCAGAUUGUAGAGGUCUCUGUACGGGCUUAAACAAGCUCCAAGAGCUUGGUUUCAAAGAUUAUGAACUUAAUUCAGACUUUGGGUAAGCUAUUCUCCAUGAAGGACCUUGGGCCCCUCAAUUACUUUUUGGGAAUUGAAGUUACUUAUAAGGGUGAUUGUGUUCACUUGACACAAGCUAAGUAUGCAACUGAUUUAUUGGUACGCACUGGAUUUACAGAUUGUAAGCCUUUGUCCACUCCAUCUGCUCCUGGUCAAAAGUUGAGUAUGUAUUCUGGUGAACCUCUUUGUGAUCCUACUGAGUACAGGCAAGUUGUUGGUGCUUUGCAGUAUUUACUGAUUACCCGGCCUGAUCUUUCCUACCCUGUAAAUCAAGUAUGCCAAUUUAUGCAUUCUCUACCACAACUCACUGGCAAGCGGUAAAGCGCAUUCUCAGGUAUUUGAAAAAUUCGCUUUUGAUCAUGGUUUACGGUAUAAACCAGGUCAGCUGCAGUUGAGUGCUUAUUCCGAUGCUGAUUACACUGGAGAUCCUGAUUCACGACAUUCUACUGGUGGCUAUUGCAUUUUCUUAGGCUCCAAUCUUAUUUCAUGGAGCUCAAAGAAGCAAAAGACUGUUUACAGAUCAAGUACGGAAGCCGAAUAUUGUCAGCUUGCAUAUACAGCCGCAGAAUUAUCAUGGUUGCGUUCAUUGUUUCGUGAUUUUUCUCUUUCGUUGCCACCACCAAUUAUCUGGUGUGACAAUGUUUCUUCCCUCUCAUUGGCAUCAAAUCCGGUUUUUCAUUCACGAACGAAACAUUUGGAGGUUGAUUAUCAUUAUGUUAGGGAAAAAAUAGUGAGGGGUGAGCUGGUUGUAAACUAUAUUUGUUCUCAAGCUGCCUGUUCUUCAAAGCUCACUCAGCUUGCGGGGGGAUGUUAAGCCAAGUCCAAGUCAUGAGCAGAUUGUUAUUGAUAAGUCAGUUGUGGAUUUGAAUUUGAAUAGUUGAUAUGCUGAUAAUGUUAUUUUGUAAUUGAGCUGACCCUUGUUUAUUGGAACAACUCUUGUAUUUUGAAUUGUAAGUUAUUAAUACAGUAAUAUAAAUACGUGCUUACACCAAAGUUACUGGUGUAGCCUUUUCUCCCA